AGAUUGAACGCUGGCGGCAGGCCUAACACAUGCAAGUCGAGCGGUAGAGAGGUGCUUGCACCUCUUGAGAGCGGCGGACGGGUGAGUAAUGCCUAGGAAUCUGCCUAGUGGUGGGGGAUAACGUUCGGAAACGGACGCUAAUACCGCAUACGUCCUACGGGAGAAAGCGGGGGACCUUCGGGCCUCGCGCCAUUAGAUGAGCCUAGGUCGGAUUAGCUAGUUGGUGAGGUAAUGGCUCACCAAGGCGACGAUCCGUAACUGGUCUGAGAGGAUGAUCAGUCACACUGGAACUGAGACACGGUCCAGACUCCGUACGGGAGCAGCAGGUGGGAAUAUUGGACAAUGGGCGAAAGCCUGAUCCAGCCAUGCCGCGUGUGUGAAGAAGGUCUCGGUAAUUGUAAAGCUAACUUUAAGUGGAGGAAGGUUGCGAAUUAAUACCGUUAGACUAACUUUGACGUUACCGACAGAAUAAGCACCGGCUAACUUCGU
This 489-nucleotide ribosomal RNA is filed under the name uncultured soil bacterium. RNAcentral describes it as "bacterial SSU rRNA". It matches the Rfam family "Bacterial small subunit ribosomal RNA", at positions 26 to 506 of the family's 1533-position model. The record is from RNAcentral.